RNAcentral lists this ribosomal RNA (497 nucleotides) under uncultured bacterium. RNAcentral's name for it is "partial 16S ribosomal RNA". It matches the Rfam family "Bacterial small subunit ribosomal RNA", at positions 28 to 507 of the family's 1533-position model. The record is from RNAcentral.
GAUGAACGCUGGCGGCGUGCCUAAUACAUGCAAGUCGAGCGAACAGACGAGGAGCUUGCUCCUCUGACGUUAGCGGCGGACGGGUGAGUAACACGUGGAUAACCUACCUAUAAGACUGGGAUAACUUCGGGAAACCGGAGCUAAUACCGGAUAAUAUAUUGAACCGCAUAGUUCAAUAGUGAAAGACGGUUUUGCUGUCACUUAUAGAUGGAUCCGCGCCGCAUUAGCUAGUUGGUAAGGUAACGGCUUACCAAGGCAACGAUGCGUAGCCGACCUGAGAGGGUGAUCGGCCACACUGGAACUGAGACACGGUCCAGACUCCUACGGGAGGCAGCAGUAGGGAAUCUUCCGCAAAGGGCGAAAGCCUGACGGAGCAACGCCGCGUGAGUGAUGAAGGUCUUCGGAUCGUAAAACUCUGUUAUUAGGGAAGAACAAAUGUGUAAGUAACUAUGCACGUCUUGACGGUACCUAAUCAGAAAGCCACGGCUAACUACGUG